This 665-nucleotide long non-coding RNA is filed under the name Gossypium raimondii (Peruvian cotton). Its description in RNAcentral is "long non-coding RNA (GRAI_LNC000506)". Lineage: Eukaryota; Viridiplantae; Streptophyta; Magnoliopsida; Malvales; Malvaceae. The record is from RNAcentral.
ACAAAUCAAAGGAAACAAAAGAAAAAAAAAGAAAUCGGGAAAAUCACCUUUAAAAUAUACUGCUAUUUGUUCCCUUUUUAUUGAUUUUUUCCAAUCCAGUAUCCCCUUUUUACAAAUUUGUGUUUGGCUUUAUAUAGCCGAAAUAACAAAAAAAUAUAAAAGAAAAAUAUAAAAAAUCUGUCCUCUAAUUCUGUUAUUUUCUUUUUUGUAAUCUAGUUGCUUUUUUUUUUUGCUGUUAUUGCUACUUGUUUGUUUCUAUUUCAGGUGGAUGGCCAGCUAGCAUGGAGGCCUAGUUCGCAUGGAGGAAGCAGCGUACGUGCGCGGAGGGCAGCAGCUGGUGGCUGCUGUUGCUGCUAAGGCUAGUUUUUUUUGUGUUUUAGGCCCUAUUUGGGCUAGAGUGUAUUGGACUAAUUGGGUUAGAUUAGUGGGUUUUUGGUUUUUUUUUUUUCUUAUUGGGCUGGGGUUUAAUUUUUGGGUAAUUCAGGUUUAUUGUAAUUUGGAGUUUAAUUAUAAAUAGACUUUUAUUUUUUAUUUUUUAUUUUUUCAUUUUGUUUUUUUGAUUUUUUUGUGCUUUUGGGCCCAGGCAUAUUUGAGCUUGUAUAGGCAUGAUCCCAAUUAUGAUCAUUUGCGUGUUUUUGGGUGUUGCUUUUAUCCGUACUUGCGAC